This is a small nuclear RNA of Artibeus jamaicensis (Jamaican fruit-eating bat), 107 nucleotides long. NCBI's taxonomy places the organism in Eukaryota, Metazoa, Chordata, Mammalia, Chiroptera, Phyllostomidae. The record is from RefSeq and is a predicted model, not a curated record.
GUGCUUACUUUGGCAGCACAUAUACUAAAAUUGGAAGGAUAAAGAAAAGAUUAGCAUGGCCCCUGCACAAGAAUGACAUGCAAAUUCAUAAAGCAUUCCAUAUUUUU